GUGCCAGCCGCGGCGGUAAUACGAAGGGGGCUAGCGUUGUUCGGAUUUACUGGGCGUAAAGCGCACGUAGGCGGAUCGUUAAGUCAGAGGUGAAAUCCUGGAGCUCAACUCCAGAACUGCCUUUGAUACUGGCGAUCUAGAGUCCGGAAGAGGUGAGUGGAACUCCUAGUGUAGAGGUGGAAUUCGUAGAUAUUAGGAAGAACACCAGUGGCGAAGGCGGCUCACUGGUCCGGUACUGACGCUGAGGUGCGAAAGCGUGGGAGCAAACAGGAUUAGAUACCCUGGUAGUCC
This 291-nucleotide ribosomal RNA is filed under the name uncultured Devosia sp. Its description in RNAcentral is "partial 16S ribosomal RNA". It matches the Rfam family "Bacterial small subunit ribosomal RNA", at positions 505 to 796 of the family's 1533-position model. Lineage: Bacteria; Pseudomonadati; Pseudomonadota; Alphaproteobacteria; Hyphomicrobiales; Devosiaceae. The record is from RNAcentral.